This 450-nucleotide ribosomal RNA is filed under the name uncultured Glomeromycotina. RNAcentral describes it as "SSU rRNA". It matches the Rfam family "Eukaryotic small subunit ribosomal RNA", at positions 569 to 1022 of the family's 1831-position model. Lineage: Eukaryota; Fungi; Glomeromycota. The record is from RNAcentral.
AGCAGCCGCGGUAAUUCCAGCUCCAAUAGCGUAUAUUAAAGUUGUUGCAGUUAAAAAGCUCGUAGUUGAAUUUCGGAAUCGAUGGAUCGGUCACGCCAUUCGGUGUGUACUGGUUUAAUUGGUUCUCACCUUCUAAGGAACCGUGAUGUCAUUAAUUUGGUGUCGCGGGGAAUUAGGACUGUUACCUUGAAAAAUUUAGAGUGUUUAAAGCAAGCUCACGCUUGAAUACAUUAGCAUGGAAUAAUGAAAUAGGACAUUGUAUUCUAUUUUGUUGGUUUCUAGGAUCGAUGUAAUGAUUAAUAGGGAUAGUUGGGGGCAUUAGUAUUCAAUUGUCAGAGGUGAAAUUCUUGGAUUUAUUGAAGACUAACUACUGCGAAAGCAUUUGCCAAGGAUGUUUUCAUUAAUCAAGAACGAAAGUUAGGGGAUCGAAGACGAUCAGAUACCGUCGUA